RNAcentral lists this long non-coding RNA (1340 nucleotides) under Lupinus angustifolius (narrow-leaved blue lupine). RNAcentral describes it as "long non-coding RNA (LANG_LNC002887)". Lineage: Eukaryota; Viridiplantae; Streptophyta; Magnoliopsida; Fabales; Fabaceae. The record is from RNAcentral.
UAGCUUCGGUGAUACAUCAUCUAGAUCACAAAAAUGUUAUGAACGACUCCCAACUUAAGACCAGUGUUGUCCAAGUCGCCACAUCUUUGGCUAUGCAAAGUAGAUCAGGGAAAGGGUUGGCAGAGAUUGGUUUCGUUGGUGACCUUUGCAGGCAUCUCAGGAAAAGCCUUCAAGCCUCCAAUGAAUUGGUUGAAGAGCAAGAGUUGAACUUGAAUAUCUUGCUCCAAAAUUCCAUUGAGGACUGCAUACUUGAAAUUGCCAAGGGGGUAGGAUUAUGCAUGCCUUCUUUCAUCCACAAAAUCACCGCGUUCUGUUCGACUACUAAACUACUUAUUUUUCUUUGUUGUCAUGCCACUUUAGAUAACUAUGAGCGAGGCAGACAUAGUGAAGAUGCUGAUUUCGAGGCAGAACCACAUCAUAAUUGGGUGGAUGAGGUUGUCCGCUGUGAGGGCCGGGCUAAUUCAAUUGCUGGUACUGAAAUUAGCUCUUCUUGCCUGACCAUCCAGCCACGACCAGAAAUAAAGGAUCCUACCCUUUUGACUAGGUAUUGGUUAUUCAAGAGCUUAUGAAAAAAGUUUCAGGCCAUUUGUUGAAUGUGGUCUUUUACAUAGCUUUUAAUCACUUUUUGGUUCCUUUCAUGAUCUUCUUUAAUCAUAGGGAUGAAAUUGAAAAACCAGAAAUAUGGGCUCAGAUAUGUGUUCAAAGAGUGGCUGAAUUAGCAAAAGAAAGCACAACUAUGCGUCGUGUUCUGGAUCCAAUGUUUGUCUACUUUGAUUCCAGGCAACAUUGGGAUCCUAAGAAAGGGUUAGCAAUGAUGGUGUUAUCCAGCAUGACCUACUUCAUGGAAAACUCAGGUGUUGUUCUAUUCCACUCCUGGCUCAAUUAGUUUUCCGAAAUAAUUCAGUGGAUGCAAUUGACAUAUUCCAGGUUGUGCUUUUAAGGAUGUGAGAAGUGUAUGAUUUUAAACAAGCUAUGUGUAAUGCUAUAUGAAGUUUUUUUCUUAAGAUUUUUUAUCUUGUUCCAUAAUGAUAUUUUCUUUCUUUUGACCUCUUUUCUACAGGGAAUCAGCGGUUUAUUAUAGCUUCGGUGAUACAUCAUCUAGAUCACAAAAAUGUUAUGAACGACUCCCAACUUAAGACCAGUGUUGUCCAAGUCGCCACAUCUUUGGCUAUGCAAAGUAGAUCAGGGAAAGGGUUGGCAGAGAUUGGUUUCGUUGGUGACCUUUGCAGGCAUCUCAGGAAAAGCCUUCAAGCCUCCAAUGAAUUGGUUGAAGAGCAAGAGUUGAACUUGAAUAUCUUGCUCCAAAAUUCCAUUGAGGACUGCAUACUUGAAAUUGCCAA